This 1642-nucleotide long non-coding RNA is filed under the name Equus caballus (horse). RNAcentral describes it as "lncRNA (ENSECAG00000053148.1)". The record is from RNAcentral. Lineage: Eukaryota; Metazoa; Chordata; Mammalia; Perissodactyla; Equidae.
UCUUAAGUAACUGCUCUAAGAGGGGCUUCAGAGGCCUAUCUGCCUAUUACCAGGUUUUGGCUGGAAGAAAAAGUAAAUUCUGGGAGCAUUGAGAUUUCUCAGGAAGGCACUUCAAAGGGGGCUGGAGUCAUCCUAGGCCCAUGGCUUGAGGCUGAGGGAAGCAUGCUAGAGUUUAACAAGUCUCUUAGUGUAAGAUUUGGAAGGAAUAUUAUGUGCUGAGAGUUCUGCUGUUCUCAGGACACAGCCAUUUAAACACAGCCUGUCUCUGCAGGUGUCACUCUUCCAGUGGAGUUUGGACCAGUUCAGGGCAGUUGAUCAUUGCAUCUCUUAACAUAACUGAAAAACAAUUCUGAGAAACAGGUUUCACAAAUUCAGUUCCAAAAAGGAGGUACAAAGUGUAACUCGACAGGUGGAUAAAGUUUAGACCAGUGCCCCCAACUGGUUACCAAUAGGAGUCUACCAAGCAGUUACCCCGGGAGCCUCAUGGAGAACCACGUCUGCUACAAACCUACUGAAGCGCAGACAGAGUGUCCUUUACUAAUCUGUGUUUUUCAUCUCUCUUUUUCAUGUUUCUUCCAUCCCUCUUUUGCUCUCUCUCUUCCUUUCUUACAUGAAUAUAAUGAUUGCAAAUAUGUUAUACCAUUUCUCUCCAUCUUUCUCCUCUUGGGGAUUUCAAUCCAGACUGUUUUUAUUCAUUUUACAUUUUAGGUGAAGAUUUCUUGACUCCCUUGUUAUCUCUUUUGCUCCUUCAGUGAAUCUUUAUCAAGUGCUGGCUGUGUCCCAGGCAGUGUUCUAGGGCAGAUGAUGUGGGAUAUAUUGGGUUAUCAGAGAAGAUCUCUUUUAUUAUGUGUCAUUUGAGUAGGGGCCAGAAUAACAAGAAUGAACCAGUCAUAUGAUGAUCCUGGAAAGGAAAGUAAGGGCUUAGGUGCUGGGCCAAGGGGUUGAUUGGAAUGUUUCAGAAAAAAAAAAGGAAAGAAGGCAGAACUGGGAAAUUCGUCAGGUGCAGAUCGUGUAAGUGCUUAUGCACCAGUGUAUGAGUCCGCAAGAGCUGUCGUAACACAAUACCACAGACUGGAUGGCUUAAACAACAGAAAUUUAUUUCUCACAGUUCUGGAGGCUGGAAGUCUAAGAUCAAGGUGUCGGCAGGUUUGGUUUCUCGUGAGGCCUCUCUCCUCGGCUUGCAGAUGGCCGCCUUCUUGAUGUGUCCUCUCAUGGCCUGUUCUCUGGGCAUACACAUCCCUGGUUUCUCUUCUUAUAGGGACAUCAGUCAUAUUGCAUUAGGGUCCCACCCUUAUGACCUCCUUUAACCUUAAUUACAUCUUUAAAGGCCCUAUCUUCAAAUAUAGCCACAUUCUAAAGUAUUGGGAGUUACAGUUUCAACAUAGGAAUUCAGGGAGAACAUAAUUCAGUUCAUAACCACCAGGAUUAAGGAGUUGGGUUGAAUUCUAAGUGUCAUGGGAGGCCAUGGUAGGAUUUCAUAUGGGGUGAGUGGCUCUUCCAUGUGAUUUGUUCAUCUUAUACUCUGAGUUGGAGCUUGGAGGUGAGUAUUACUGUCACCAGACAUGAACCCUAACCUGCUUCUCUUGUCCUGCUUAAAAAUAUAACUUUUAUGUUUGACCUAAUUCUCUUGUCUUCCUGAAAG